RNAcentral lists this transfer RNA (84 nucleotides) under Luteimonas sp. JM171. It matches the Rfam family "tRNA". Rfam says of the family: Transfer RNA (tRNA) molecules are approximately 80 nucleotides in length. Their secondary structure includes four short double-helical elements and three loops (D, anti-codon, and T loops). The record is from Rfam by way of RNAcentral. Lineage: Bacteria; Pseudomonadati; Pseudomonadota; Gammaproteobacteria; Lysobacterales; Lysobacteraceae.
GCCCGGAUGGCGAAACUGGUAGACGCAAGGGACUUAAAAUCCCUCGGUGGCAACACCGUGCCGGUUCGAUCCCGGCUCCGGGCA